RNAcentral lists this ribosomal RNA (451 nucleotides) under uncultured bacterium. Its description in RNAcentral is "partial 16S ribosomal RNA". It matches the Rfam family "Bacterial small subunit ribosomal RNA", at positions 354 to 796 of the family's 1533-position model. The record is from RNAcentral.
GUGGGGAAUAUUGGACAAUGGGGGGAACCCUGAUCCAGCCAUGCCGCGUGUGUGAAGAAGGCCUUUUGGUUGUAAAGCACUUUAAGCGAGGAGGAGGCUACCGAGAUUAAUACUCUUGGAUAGUGGACGUUACUCGCAGAAUAAGCACCCGCUAACUCUGUGCCAGCAGCCGCGGUAAUACAGAGGGUGCAAGCGUUAAUCGGAUUUACUGGGCGUAAAGCGCGCGUAGGUGGCCAAUUAAGUCAAAUGUGAAAUCCCCGAGCUUAACUUUGGAAGUGCAUUCGAUACUGGUUGGCUAGAGUAUGGGAGAGGAUGGUAGAAUUCCAGGUGUAGCGGUGAAAUGCGUAGAGAUCUGGAGGAAUACCGAUGGCGAAGGCAGCCAUCUGGCCUAAUACUGACACUGAGGUGCGAAAGCAUGGGGAGCAAACAGGAUUAGAUACCCCUGUAGUCC